Molecule: ribosomal RNA, 445 nt
Filed under: uncultured bacterium
Lineage: Bacteria
Description: partial 16S ribosomal RNA
Rfam family: Bacterial small subunit ribosomal RNA
Source: RNAcentral
GUGAGGAAUAUUGCGCAAUGGAGGCAACUCUGACGCAGCCAUGCCGCGUGCAGGAAGAAGGCGCUACGCGUUGUAAACUGCUUUUAACCGGGAAGAAACCCCAGGACGUGUCCUGGGUUGACGGUACCGGAGGAAUAAGCACCGGCUAACUUCGUGCCAGCAGCCGCGGUAAUACGAAGGGUGCAAGCGUUAUCCGGAUUCAUUGGGUUUAAAUGGUGCGUAGGCGGAGCGUUAAGUCAGUGGUGAAAUCCUGCAGCUUAACUGUAGACUUGCCAUUGGUACUGGCGCUCUUGAGUGCGCUUGAAGUGGGCGGAAUGUGCCGUGUAGCGGUGAAAUGCUUAGAUAUGGCACAGAACACCAAUUGCGAAGGCAGCUCACUAAGGCGAUACUGACGCUGAGGCACGAAAGCGUGGGGAUCGAACAGGAUUAGAAACCCGGGUAGUCC